RNAcentral lists this small nuclear RNA (116 nucleotides) under Rhinopithecus bieti (black snub-nosed monkey). RNAcentral describes it as "U5 spliceosomal RNA (ENSRBIG00000000664.1)". It matches the Rfam family "U5 spliceosomal RNA". From Rfam's summary of the family: U5 RNA is a component of both types of known spliceosome. The precise function of this molecule is unknown, though it is known that the 5' loop is required for splice site selection and p220 binding, and that both the 3' stem-loop and the Sm site are important for Sm protein binding and cap methylation. Lineage: Eukaryota; Metazoa; Chordata; Mammalia; Primates; Cercopithecidae. The record is from Rfam by way of RNAcentral.
AUGCUCUGGUUUCUUGUCCAAACAAAUAAAUCUUUCACUUUUUACUAAAGAUUCCCAUGGAGAGGGACAGUUGUGAGUUCAUAACCAAACUUUUAAGGCCUUGCUUAGGCAGGGCU